Molecule: ribosomal RNA, 549 nt
Filed under: uncultured bacterium
Lineage: Bacteria
Description: bacterial SSU rRNA
Rfam family: Bacterial small subunit ribosomal RNA
Source: RNAcentral
UGGGGAAUAUUGGACAAUGGGCGAAAGCCUGAUCCAGCCAUGCCGCGUGUGUGAAGAAGGCCUUUUGGUUGUAAAGCACUUUAAGUGGGGAGGAAAAGCUUGUGGUUAAUACCCAUAAGCCCUGACGUUACCCACAGAAUAAGCACCGGCUAACUCUGUGCCAGCAGCCGCGGUAAUACAGAGGGUGCAAGCGUUAAUCGGAAUUACUGGGCGUAAAGCGCGCGUAGGUGGUUAUUUAAGUCAGAUGUGAAAGCCCCGGGCUUAACCUGGGAACUGCAUCUGAUACUGGAUAACUAGAGUAGGUGAGAGGGGAGUAGAAUUCCAGGUGUAGCGGUGAAAUGCGUAGAGAUCUGGAGGAAUACCGGUGGCGAAGGCAGCUCCCUGGCAUCAUACUGACACUGAGGUGCGAAAGCGUGGGUAGCAAACAGGAUUAGAUACCCUGGUAGUCCACGCCGUAAACGAUGUCUACCAGUCGUUGGGUCUUUUAAAGACUUAGUGACGCAGUUAACGCAAUAAGUAGACCGCCUGGGGAGUACGGCCGCAAGGUUA